Molecule: non-coding RNA, 132 nt
Filed under: uncultured Symbiodinium
Lineage: Eukaryota; Dinophyceae; Suessiales; Symbiodiniaceae
Source: RNAcentral
CUUGCUGUAACCAUAGCCAUUGUGAGGUAUGUGCUGGCCGGAUUCUGGUGGACCGUGUUGGCAGCUGGGUUGCCGUGCUGUUGCCUAUCGAUUGUCAUGUGUAUGGCAAAUUGGGACUCCUCGGAGAUAUGG